RNAcentral lists this ribosomal RNA (496 nucleotides) under uncultured bacterium. RNAcentral's name for it is "partial 16S ribosomal RNA". It matches the Rfam family "Bacterial small subunit ribosomal RNA", at positions 28 to 506 of the family's 1533-position model. The record is from RNAcentral.
GAUGAACGCUGGCGGCGUGCCUAAUACAUGCAAGUCGAGCGAACAGACGAGGAGCUUGCUCCUCUGACGUUAGCGGCGGACGGGUGAGUAACACGUGGAUAACCUACCUAUAAGACUGGGAUAACUUCGGGAAACCGGAGCUAAUACCGGAUAAUAUAUUGAACCGCAUGGUUCAAUAGUGAAAGACGGUUUUGCUGUCACUUAUAGAUGGAUCCGCGCCGCAUUAGCUAGUUGGUAAGGUAACGGCUUACCAAGGCAACGAUGCGUAGCCGACCUGAGAGGGUGAUCGGCCACACUGGAACUGAGACACGGUCCAGACUCCUACGGAAGGCAGCAGUAGGGAAUCUUCCGCAAUGGGCGAAAGCUUGACGGAGCAACGCCGCGUGAGUGAUGAAGGUCUUCGGAUCGUAAAACUCUGUUAUUAGGGAAGAACAAAUGUGUAAGUAACUAUGCACGUCUUGACGGUACCUAAUCAGAAAGCCACGGCUAACUACGU